Non-coding RNA from Sus scrofa (pig), 7973 nucleotides. The record is from RefSeq and is a predicted model, not a curated record. Lineage: Eukaryota; Metazoa; Chordata; Mammalia; Artiodactyla; Suidae.
UUCAUUUCUGCUGCACCACAGCACGAACUCCAUAUUACUGUCUUUUUCAAUAGGACAAAGUUUCCAUUUGAUAAUUUGUUUUCUAAUCUCAUUCAUGACUUUUUAAUGUUAAGAAAUUUUUAAUUUUUUGGCACUGUCUUUCAAACAGCAGCAUUUCUGAGCACCCUACUCAAGAACUGUGCUGGGUACCAUGGAAUAUACAGAGAGACAUAAAAUUGGAUUGUUGCCUUCAAGACAGUUGAAAGGACAUGAUGUGAUACAAUAGGAAGAGAAUGGACCCCAGUGUCACAUUCCCUGAUUAAAAUCCCUGCUUAAAUUCAAGUUAGCAACUUGCUCUCAAUAUACUUAACUUCUUAGAAACCAAUUGCCUUAUCUGUAAAGUACAGAAAAAAUACCUACUUCUCAAUUUUAUGAUUAAAAUAUGGUUUAAAACACCUAAUAUAGUACCCAGACUCUAACAACUGCAUGAUGCAUUUAAAAAAAAAUAGUUGAGGAAGAAAUACCUAUCACAUGAAAAUAUAGGCAGGAAAUGCUUAGUGCUAAAUUGAUAGCAUAGAUGAUCAUUACUAUAGAAUUCAAAGGAAGGAGGUCAUUUCUAGGGGAAUGUGGUCAUAACAUAUUGAUUGAAAAGGAGAACUGAAGCUGAAUCCUGAAAGGUAGGUAGUCCAUGGAGAAGAAUGAGGGCAUCAUCCCAGGAAAGGAGAGCCAAGGUGUGGACACAAGAGUGAGCUGAAGAUGUUCGGAUAGAGGCAGAGCCCAUAUAUUUGGAAAGACACACUGCGGUCAGAUUAGAGAGGGCAUUAAGUGCCACGCUAAUGAGUGUGGGUUUUUCUUAGAGGAAGCCUCUUUAGAUUUAUAAGCAGAGUAAGAACAUGAUGGAAAUUGUGUUUUAGAUUGAUGACAUUCUGGCAGCCAGCCAUAUAGAUUGGGGUCAGCAAGAGUGGCAAGGAAGGCAGAAACUGGUUUAAAUGUAGGCCAAGCAUUAGCAAGUAAGUGCCUAGCAUCUUCCAGGGCACUGGUGUUGGAAAGUGAAUGGAAUAGGGGAGAUAGUUGUGAGCAUCAUGAAAGUAAGAACUGAAGAGACCUAGUUUUGAGUAGGUAAUGCUAAGUGGUGGUAGGAGGGAGACUUCAGAGAUGACAUCCACAUUUUAAGCCCCAGUGACUGGACGAAUAAUAGCACCAUUGAACAAAAGCAGAGGUGAAGGCCAGAGAAGAACAGUGCUCUAGCAAUUUGGAUAAAAUAUGAUUCCUUUAUAUUAACACACAGUGUUUGAAGUGAAGGCAAUAUAAUCUAGUGGAAAAGUUCACUGUUCAGUUGGAAAUCCAAGCCUGGGGCCAGGAGGGAUGAUAGGGCUGGAGUUACAGAACUAAGAUUCAUUUGCAGAUGACAUGAGAUGAAAGACUUUCUAUUGAGAGUGGUAAAGUCUCAAUGACUAAAACUUGGCACGCUCAUAUUUAUUAAGAGCAGCAAAUGGAGCUAGUGAAGAGGACAGAGAAGGAAAGGUCAGAGAGAAUGAACAAGAACUAUAAUAAUACAGUGCUAUGAGAGCCAAACGAGAGGCGAGGGUCAAAAAGAAGAUAGGAACAAACGAUCAACCAUAUCAGAUACUGCAGAAAGGCUGAUGAGAACAAGAAGCUGAUAAUGUCAAUGGGUUCAGCCCUUAUGAGGUCAAUGCUCUUCCUGCAUAUGGAUUCAGAAUGCUGGGUUGGCUGAUUGCAGAACAAGAGAGAAAAAAAAGUACAAGAUAGUGAUGCAAACUGUGGGUCCUGAGAGCAGACUCCCUGGACUUCAGUCCCAUCUCUGCUGCCACAUUGCUGUGUGAUCUUCUUCAAGCUACUUAAGUCUUUAUGCCUUCAUAUUUCCAUAUUGAAAAUGGAAAUAACAAUGGGAAUUAUAGUAGCUAACUGAUAAGUUUUUGGGGAGGCGAAAGGACAACAUAUAUACAUUACUUAAGACUGUAUAGGCACUGAGCAGGCAAGCAAAUGAUAUUUAUCAUUGAAACCCUGGGUAAUCAUUAGUCAAAUCCAUUUCACCUGCCUUCACUAAUCAAGGGCCUCCACAAAAGACCUGCAUGUUUUCCAAGAGGCAGGUAGCCUAAAAAACAAGAUGUUUGCCCUCGUUGUUUUCCAGGAACUUGGAGUUCGUUGUCUCUUGAUUGAGCUGAGCUUGUUAAGACUGAAUAGAACCACUGACCCUCCAACUGGGCAUGCGUGAAUGUUUUACCUCCGUGACCUUUUGACAUCUGAAGACUGAAAAUUCCACCUUCAGAUCAUGGUAAGUGCCUCCAGUUUUUUUUGUUUUUGUUUUUGUUUUUUUAAAUAUGCAGAGGCUUGUACUUAGUUAAACCUGUGUAGAGCAGUGAUAACUAUACCUUUUUCCAGUCACCUUUCUCCACACUCCCCACACCUCAGACUCUCCUGAUUCUUUGUUCUUUAUCCCAUAAAUACCCCAUCUCCCUGGCUUGCGGGGAGACAGAUCUGAGACUCAUUCUCCCAUCUCCUUGCCUGGCUUGCCUUGCCUUGUGAAUAAACCCUCUCUCUGCUGCAAAUGCCAGUGACUCCACAUUUUGGCUUGCUGCACAUCGGGCAAAAUAAACCUUGGUUUGGUAACAUCAUUUUUUGUUAUUCAUAUUUGCUAUUACUGGAAGUGGAUGCUGAGUGGCAUUUGGGCCAGUCUUAGUAGAGAAAAGCAGAAGUAAAGUAACAGGAUAGCUGGGGAAAGCUUCCCAGGCACAGGUGUGUGCAUACCUGCAGGCAAUUGGGAAGCGGGAGCCAAGGCAGGCAUAGAAAGUGAAGGUACCAGGGGAAGAGGAAAUGUGAUGGAGCAAAGUCACCAAGGAGAAGGAGAGUACCGGUUUAUGGAUUCAGGUUGAUUAAUUAGCCUGGAAAGAAGGGCUAGACACCACCUGAGAUCAUAAAAAGGGGUAUUCAUAUGGAGAUGGAAUUUUGAAGGGAGAGCACGAAAACACAAGUGCAGGCUUUUUUUCCUCCCAGUAAAGGAAGCACUGAGGCAUUGGCCCGAAAUGAGAAGAGGUGAAUGGAUGAGGGUCUCAGAGCAUUUGCAAAACUUCCUAACAAAUUCUAUUUUCAAGUUUAGGCUUCCUUCAGACUUUUUUUUUAAUCUCAUGGUAGCUCCAAGUAGAAAGCAAGAAAAGAAAAAGAGGUAGAAGCAAUUAGAAAAUGUUGCAGGAUUAAUCUAGUUCCACCCAGCAAAAUGGCUAAGAGAGCUAACAGUGGAAACCAGCACUCAACCUGAUAAGUCAGUGUGCCUCCUGUUGGGAGGCAAACCAAGGAGAAUCAGCUACAGCAGAGGCUGGGGCUCAAUCAAAGGUCUAAGUGAACCCUAUAAAUACGUCUUGCAUGGUUUGAACAAUAAGCCAAUGGCCUGAAAACCUUGACUUUUCAAGGCAUCUUCAAGGUCCUUUCUGAUCUGGUUUCAGAAAGCCUUCCUGUUCCACCUAGAAUGACGUUUGAUACUGAGUGGUCUUCCAGGUUUAACUUCUCUAUGGAUGCACAAAUUGUCAAAGUAAGUUGUGUUCUCAAUUAAAAAAAAUUAUUUUCACCAAAAUUUAUGUCUAGCACCAACAGCCCCCCUGAAUCUGCUGGUUGAUCCUUGGUUUCCCACAUCAUUCUGGGGCAAUGGGAAAGGAGUGCACAGUCAUUCUCAGGACUGGUGAGCAUAUGUGCCCUCAUCUGCUUUCUGCAUUUUCUCUAUUCAACAAUUUCUCUUGAUGCACCAGCUUUAAAUAUUAACUCAGAAAGAUGGAGGGAAGAGUUGGUCCUACAGGGCUAUAAGCCUGUUGGAUCCCAAGGGAAUAUGGGCAUUUCAGAUGCUAUAAAUAAGCAGAGGGAAAAAUCUGAUGAAGAUAAAGUGCUAUGUGCCAUAGCUGGUUAUUCUGAGCAGCUUUGAUGCUGCCAGGCUAUUAGACUUGCUUCUGUUUUUGCCAUCAGUAUCGCUCUGGAGAUGGUUUAUUUGCAAAAGGAGCAGGAUCUAGGAUAUGCAUUCAUUUGUAAAAGAUGCCACCACACACAUUCUGCAGCUAAUACCACGUUCAUGAACUUUACCUGUGACUAAAUACAUUUCAUUUCUUAGAGCUGAGCUUCAGUAAUUGGUUUUUGCAGCCACAAACACAUCCAGCAAGGAAAAUAUGAGAAGCCCAGUGCUCUCUCUGCUUUUAGAAAUGACUUUUGCUGCAGAUGGAAAAAGCCAUCCCAGCUCUGAGUUGGCAGAUCCUGAGGUCAAAUCUUAGAGAGCUGGCAUCUAGAAACUCAAAGGCGAGGAGGAGCAGGUGGCUUUGGAAGAGUAAAUGACUUCAAAGGUAGGUAACAGGGGAGGGGAGGUUUGCUAACAGUGGAAAGGAGGUGGUGUGGGAAGACUGGAUCCCUGUAGAAAUAAGCUUCCCAUCCACAGCACAUGACAGCUCAAUGCGGUGUGUUUUCCCAAGUCUCUGCAGUCGUGGAGGUCUCAAAGUGCUUAGUAAGCUACCAAGUCAUAAAGCACAACCACUUCCAGACUAAAGUACCAUCGAGGGCUGAAGAAUCAUCAUGUUUUUGGGAUUUGGCUGUGAGAAGGAAAUGUGGGUUCAUCCAGUGGAUUGAUUUGUUAAUUUAUUCAGGGAAAAAAAAAAAAGAAGGCUAAAUAUGGAGCAUUUGCUUUGGCCUUGCACUGAAUUAUACACUUCAACAGUUCCGUUCAUGGUUUCCACAUUUCCAAAAGAAUUAAACUAAUUGGUAAAACCCUGAUGUCUACACAUAAAAUUGAUACUAAAAAAUAAGUGCCAAGAUUCCAAAAAUGCAUCAAUGGGAUAUGCAGAAUAAUCACAUUUUCUCCUAGGCUAGUUCUAGAGACAAUUAUGAUGUAGGAAAAUUUGCCUUAAAUCCCCUCAUCUCCUUCCCUUCCCCUUCUUACCUCUGCCUGCCAAGAAAGUCAACAUAUCCGACUUUUUCCCUUCUGCCUGAAAAAACACAUUGUGGGCAUCCUCAAAUCCCAGUCGCUCCCAUCUCUUUCUACCCUGAAAUUCAUCUUUUAAAAAUCAUUUCAUCCUAUACUAAAAGCUAGAGGCUGAGGAGGAAGCACUUUGACAACACUAUUUGUAUUUUCACAACUCCUCGAUUAUGGUAGAAUGUCACUUACAGAAGCAGGGCCAGGAAGAUGAUUCAGGGGGGAUAGGAAGGUUAUUUUUAGGACAUCUUGGGUCAUAUAAAGGUUAUAUCUACCUUUCAUUCUCACUUUCCAUUCUUUGGCCUUUCUUUCAUCAACCAUAGGACCUACUAUGUAUAAAGCCACUGUGCUCAGUACAGAGGCCUAAAGAUGGAUGGGCCACAGUCCUUGUGAAACUGUGGGCAGUAAUGAGUCAAAUCCAUUUCACCUGCCUUCAUGAAUCAAGGUCCUUACCUGUUCUUCAAGGGGCAGGGAGCCCAAACAAUAAGAUAUUUGCCCAAGUUAUUUUCCAGGAACUUGGAGUCAGCUGUGUGUUGAUGGAGGUAAGUUCAUUAAGACUGAACAGGACCACCCACCCUCUAGCUGGGCACGUGUGAGUGUUUGAGCUCAGUGACUUUGACAUUAGAGGGCUGAAAACUCCACCCUUGGAAGACACAGAGGCCUGUAGCCUAGUUAAGCCUGUGAAGAAUGACUACUGCUGCACCUUUUUACAAGCACAUUUUCCCUACGCUCGCCAUGCCUCACGCAGUCCUGCUUCUUUAUUCUUUAUGCCAUAAAUACCCUGAGCCCCUGGCCUUGGGCUAGGCUGAUUUGAGAUUACUUCUCUUGUCUCCUUGCUUGGCUGCCUUGUGAAUAAACUGUCCCUUUGCUUGCAAACCUCAGUGUCAAAAUGUUGGCUUGCUGUUCAUCAGGCAAAACAAACUUUGUUUGGUAACACUUGUCUUAGAGAGGCUCACAAUCUGGUGGUAUUUAAACAGUUAAAGUGCAAUUUAGUAAAUGCUCAAGCAAUGUAUGGUCAACAUGCUGUGAAAACCCAGGAAGGAGAUGGCAUGAGGAAAAGUUUGUCAGCAUCGGUGAGGUUUGAGCUGGUAUUUUAAAAAUGUAGAAAAUUGGCCUGGCUGCAAAGGACAUUAACAUGGAUUCAACAGAUAGAAACUCAAAAUCAUUCUGGAAGAAAAUCACAUGGAUGGCUUUUGACCAGCUGUGCCAAAUUGUCUCAUCUACUGCUUAAAUCUGGAGAUUCAAGGAUCUGGACUAUUAGGCAGCUCACUCCCCAGUCAAGAGAGAGUAGAGAACUUGGCUGGCUUCCUCGGAGCACGCAGGUAAGGCUGUGAACAUACCACAGUGUUUUCGCUGGUGAGAGAUUCCCCUCUUGAGUGUAUAAUUAGAAUCCAGUAACAACCUAGAACCAGAGACACUUCUCACUGUUCAGCAGGUGAUAAGUGAAAGCUCCAGAUUGGAUUUAAAGUCAAUAGUCCAGUACUCCAGACCCAUCACUCUAGACCUGUAUUCAAUCCCAUUUUAUCUCUGGUACAGGAGAUCUGAUGAAUUUGGGCAUGCAGUGAGAAGGCACGGAAAGAAAAUCAAAUAGAUUUUUCUCCAGUUCUGGUUGCUUGGGUAGUAGGUGAAUAUAAUAUCAAGCCCUCCUUGCCUUCUCUUUUUCUUACUUUCUUGGGAACAGCUCUCCUCUAGAACCCAGGCUUGAACUCUGGGCACCAUAUUGAGAUGGUGGAAUGCCAUGGUUAAGACUGCAGAAUUUUGGAGACAGAUGACCUGGUUUAAAUCCAAGCUCCUUCAGUAACUAAGUAUAUGACCUUAAUUCCAGGAAGAAGGACCUAUGAUAAAUUCAAAGAACCAUGAUAGCUAUCCUGGGCACAGAAUGCUGCUCUUUGAAUAAAGCAUUUGAGGGAAAAGUCAUCACAGACGAGUGCUUGGCUCUCCUUCCUCAUUUGGGAUUGGCUUUGGGAUAAGGCCAUCUCAUUGAUAUCAGUUGCAAACUCAAGGGCAAGGAAUGAAUGCAGGGCCUAAACAGUCUUCAACACAGAAGAGAGGUGUGGAGAACUUUCCCUUGUUCAGUCAUUGGUGAGCAGUUAGUCAUCUCUCUCCAACUAAAAGCUUCAAGGUGAUGUGGUGAAACUCAAAGCUUGUAUCUCAAAUUACUUCCCUGUGUAUUUAUGUGCUUAUUCCAGACCAGGAGUUUCUGGGGAUGAUGUUUUGGGGAUCAUUGUACAUUUAACAUAUUAUCUCUGAUUAAAACCUUCAAAAACACAAACCCUGGCCCACUCAGAUAAUAGUCUGGUCUCAUAUUUUCAAGCUAUUUAUCCUUUAACAGUAAGGAAUUUCUUUUUAUAUAGAUUAUAAGAAAUUCAAGGCUGGGAGUUAGAAAGCUUGGGUUCCAAGAAUGUUUGACAGGUGAUUAGAUCAGAUGAUCUCCGAAAUCCUGUGGUUUUUUAAAAAGUAUAUUUGAUGUGAAUCUAAAUCUGAGAGAAUUGAUAUGUCAGCCAUGACUUUCAUUCAAUGAUUAUUGUGUAAUUACUCUAAGCUAAGUCCUGUGUAUAAAGCUGUUAAUAAAAUAGACAUGAGGGAAGCCCUUGUUUCAGGCCUUAGCUUAGUUCAUAAGCGCCUAAUUACUUGGGAUUGUCUGGAUUGCUGUGUUGAAAAAUACUGAGGCUCAAUGAAGAUAUUGGUGAUUGAUUAGCCAUGCCUACCAUGGGCAAAUGCAAAGCCUCCUGCACAAAUGGAGCCCAGACACAUGUAGUUCUCUUUUUAAGAGGCAAACCCAAACUAUUUCCUGAAAUUUAGAGUUCUGCCAUAUAGAGCCCAACAUUAUAUCAUUUUAAAAUAUAUCGUUUAAAAAUAAGUCUCCUGUCUUCCUGAUACUUAAAGCUUAUAUCUGAAAUUACCUCUCUAUGGAGAGAAAGAGCUAUAUAAAAGAGACAGAAAUGAGGAGUUUCCAUUGUGGCGCAGUGGUUAACAAAUCCAACUAGGAACCAUGAGAUUGCAGGUUCGAUCCCUGGCCUUGCUCAGUGGG